GUUGUGGCUCAGUGGUAGAGCGCUUGCCUAGCAUGUGCGAGGCGCUGAGUUCGAUCCUUAGCACCACA
Molecule: transfer RNA, 68 nt
Filed under: Marmota monax (woodchuck)
Lineage: Eukaryota; Metazoa; Chordata; Mammalia; Rodentia; Sciuridae
Description: tRNA.Ala
Source: RNAcentral